GAGUUUGAUCCUGGCUCAGGAUUAACGCUGGCGGCAUGCCUAAUACAUGCAAGUCGAACGGAGUAGCAAUACUUAGUGGCGAACGGGUGAGUAACACGUAUUUAAUCUACCAUUUAGUGGGGAAUAACUGUUGGAAACGACAGCUAAUACCGCAUAAUAUUGCUGGAUAAUUUCCAGUAAUGAAAGGAGCUUUCAAGCUCCGCUGAUUGAUGAGGAUGCGGCGCAUUAGCUAGUUGGUAGGGUAAUGGCCUACCAAGGCAAUGAUGCGUAGCCGAUCUGAGAGGAUGAACGGCCACAUUGGGACUGAGACACGGCCCAAACUUCUACGGAAGGCAGCAGUAGGGAAUUUUUCACAAUGGGCGAAAGCCUGAUGGAGCAAUGCCGCGUGACUGAUGAAGGUCUUCGGAUUGUAAAGGUCUGUUGUAAGGGAAGAAAUGGUAAAACAGGAAAUGGUUUUAUCUAUGACGGUACCUUACCAGAAAGCCACGGCUAACUAUGUGCCAGCAGCCGCGGUAAUACAUAGGUGGCAAGCGUUAUCCGGAUUUAUUGGGCGUAAAGGGUGCGUAGACGGU
Molecule: ribosomal RNA, 572 nt
Filed under: uncultured Spiroplasma sp.
Lineage: Bacteria; Bacillati; Mycoplasmatota; Mollicutes; Entomoplasmatales; Spiroplasmataceae
Description: bacterial SSU rRNA
Rfam family: Bacterial small subunit ribosomal RNA
Source: RNAcentral